AUAUAUAAUUAAACGACAUAUAACAACAAUUCAAGCAAAUCCAAAAUCAAUUCUUAGGAGGUGGUGGAGUGAAGAAUGGAAUGGAUGAGAUAGAAGGGAAUAUUCUUGGGAAGGAAGGGAAUGAAGAAGGCAUUGGUGGCAUUGCAAAUCUUGGUAUCCCUGCAGGAAUUGGUGGCAUUCCCUGUACUCUUGGAAAACUUGGAUAUUUGGGAUUACUGGAAUUGUGGGAAAAUAUGGAAUGCUUGAGCCAUCAGGUUGAUUGUUGUCUUGCAAAAGUUGACGAACAGCUUCAGACUUCUCAUUCACUGCCAUUAACAUCAGUUAAAAAAAAGCAGCUUGGUAAAUUAAGCUCCCGUUAUGUCUCGGGUCCUAGAAAGGG
RNAcentral lists this long non-coding RNA (379 nucleotides) under Nicotiana benthamiana. RNAcentral describes it as "long non-coding RNA (NBEN_LNC021024)". Lineage: Eukaryota; Viridiplantae; Streptophyta; Magnoliopsida; Solanales; Solanaceae. The record is from RNAcentral.